CAGUAGCCACGGGAAUACAGAGGAUGCAGGCGUUAUCCGGAAUGAUUGGGCGUAAAGCGUCUGUAGGUGGCUUUUCAAGUCCGCUGUCAAAUCCCAGGGCUCAACCCUGGACAGGCGGUGGAAACUACCAAGCUAGAGUACGGUAGGGGCAGAGGGAAUUUCCAGUGGAGCGGUGAAAUGCGUUGAGAUCGGAAAGAACACCAACAGCGAAAGCACUCUGCUGGGACGACACUGACACUGAGAGACGAAAGCUAGGGGAGCAAAUGGGAUUAGAUACCCGGGUAGUCCCUGUCUCUUAUAC
RNAcentral lists this ribosomal RNA (301 nucleotides) under uncultured bacterium. RNAcentral describes it as "partial 16S ribosomal RNA". It matches the Rfam family "Bacterial small subunit ribosomal RNA", at positions 509 to 807 of the family's 1533-position model. The record is from RNAcentral.